Molecule: long non-coding RNA, 522 nt
Organism: Grus americana (Whooping crane)
Lineage: Eukaryota; Metazoa; Chordata; Aves; Gruiformes; Gruidae
Exons: 3
Source: RefSeq, a predicted model, not a curated record
UGAGCGGCACCGGCCGACUGCAGAGUCGCGGCGAGACCCUCGUCAGGGUGGUAGAGGGUGACGCUUCUCAAAACUCACUCUUCUUCCAAAAAGCAACGGGAGGACAACUACACGGCGACAGCCUUUGCAAUCGUUGCAGCAUCAUCACAGACAAGGGAUGCAAGGGAAGAAAUCAAGAAGGUGCCUGGGAAGCUCUGCUCAUGAAACACAGCAGCUCUCUGCAGCACCCGCCAAGACCAGGCUCUGAAGGAUCCCAGUCUGCAUUUGCAGUCCUCCCCACGACUGCGCAACGGGGCUGAUCGAGCUCCAAGACCCCCUAGAAGCUGCACGGAAGGGAGAAAAGCCCAAGCCGCCAGUGCGGGAGUGUCGCAGGGAUGCGGAAACCUCUUUCUGCUGUGGCCAAGCAGGUUGUGGACCGUGAGGAGACAGAAGUGAUGGCAGAGGAGGGCGAACCAAGAAGCAGGAAAGCUGUGCGUGUGGAUAACGCUUCCCGAACUGGGAUAAGCAUGGUGCAGAUGUGCC